GUGUCAGCAGCCGCGGUAAUACGAAGGACCCAAGCGUUAUCCGGAUUUAUUGGGUUUAAAGGGUGCGUAGGCGGACUUGUAAGUCAGUGGUGAAAUCCUGCGGCUUAACUGCAGAACUGCCAUUGAAACUGCUUGUCUUGAGUACAUUUGAAGCGGGCGGAAUGUGUCAUGUAGCGGUGAAAUGCAUAGAUAUGACACAGAACACCGAUUGCGAAGGCAGCUCGCUAAACUGUAACUGACGCUGAGGCACGAAAGCGUGGGUAGCAAACAGGAUUAGAAACCCCAGUAGUCC
RNAcentral lists this ribosomal RNA (292 nucleotides) under uncultured bacterium. RNAcentral's name for it is "partial 16S ribosomal RNA". It matches the Rfam family "Bacterial small subunit ribosomal RNA", at positions 505 to 796 of the family's 1533-position model. The record is from RNAcentral.